RNAcentral lists this ribosomal RNA (224 nucleotides) under uncultured prokaryote. Its description in RNAcentral is "partial 16S ribosomal RNA". It matches the Rfam family "Bacterial small subunit ribosomal RNA", at positions 525 to 748 of the family's 1533-position model. The record is from RNAcentral.
ACGUAGGGUGCAAGCGUUAAUCGGAAUUACUGGGCGUAAAGCGUGCGCAGGCGGUUAUGUAAGACAGGUGUGAAAUCCCCGGGCUUAACCUGGGAACUGCAUUUGUGACUGCAUAGCUAGAGUACGGUAGAGGGGGAUGGAAUUCCGGGUGUAGCGGUGGAAUGCGUAGAGAUCCGGAAGAACACCUGAGGCGAAGGCGGCUUGCUGGGCAUGAUCUGACGCUG